UUACAAAGCAGAAGAAGAAACACAUGAAUCAGCUCAUAAUGAUUUCAAGACAUGCUUUCCAAGAGGUUUUGCAUGGGAAGUUAUUGAAGUUUAUUCACCUCCUCCUUUGAUUGCUUUCAAGUUUAGGCAUUGGGGUUUCUUUGAAGGACCUUACAAAUCCUAUUCCCCAACUGGUGAAUUGGUUCAAUUCUAUGGCAUGGCCACUCUCAAGGUACUAAUAAUUAUACUUCAAUUCUUUAAGCCCCUUUAAUUUGCUAACUAUUUUGGUUUUGUCUACAAAUAAGUUUAAUUAACGGUUUAAAUUUUUAACGAUGAUCGUAUAUUUCGAGAGACGUACAGGUAGAUUCAUCAAUGAAGGUUGAAGAAGUUCAUAUCUUCUAUGAUCCAACAGAGCUAUUUGGAGGUAUUUUAAAGGGUAAAAAAAGUAUUAUGGAUUCUGAAUUAUCCAAAAUAAGUGAUUCUUCAUCUGCUUCUGCUUGCCCACUCUUCAAUACUAAGAAGUAGUUUCAAUAAACAAAAAUAAUGUAACUAUUGAACUCAAAUAUGUCAUGUGAAAUUAUUGUGUGUAUUUUUCAAUAAAUCUCUGUCCAUAUACAUGAAUGGAAGGGACCUAAACUUUUACUUUCUAUUAAAUAUAUGUGUGUAUGGCUUCUAGCCAUUUUAGUAUGUAUUAUGUUUGAUAUAAAGUGGUACAAAAUGAAACUUUUUUUUCUUUUUCUUUUUUUAAAGGAAAUCAGUGCAAGAUAAACUAAACUAAGAACAAAACAUGUUAGAAAGAAAUUAAGAAGGUUGAAUUCACCUAUAAAGAAAUAUUUUUAAUUAAGCUAGAUUUUCAAAUGGCACUCUCCCAGUGUGGAUUGCUAACUCAUGUGCAACUCGAUUACAAAGGCGAUUAACCAAAAGAAAAUCGUGAUCUAAUCCUCGUUGGUGAACAUUAGUACAAAUAUAAUCAACAAACACCUGAAUCUCAUUAACAUAUGUGACUAAUUCUUCUAGCCAAAAGCUUCCGUAAGAUUUGAGUAUCAGUUCCAGCCUGGAGGAGAUGCCAACUUUAAUAGUUCUAAACAGGCCUUCAAGUUAAACAUGACUAUUGCCUCAACAAGCAAAACUAACUUGUGAAAGGAAAGUGGCUCUCCAUAGAAAGCAAAAUAUCAUCCUUAGAGUCACGAACAAAUAACAAUGCUUCUGAUUUUCACCUCACUAUUUAGGACAACUGCAUCAUUAUUCAUGUUGGAUGAGCCAUGGAGAGAGGCAAACCAACGACUAACAUCCAUUGAAGAUAAAGUAGAAUUAAGAACCUAAGGAAAGGCAAGUUGACGAUCAAGAGAUUCUACUACGUUCAUUACCCAUCUAACAGGGUCAAACUUGAAAAGGAUGUGUUGGUCGAAGACAAGAAGUAGGUUGGGUCGAUGCCAAAUUGAAGGAAGUGAUGACCAAGGACUUACUCUGUCAAGCUAUCUUCUCAUCUGAUGAUGUUUCAUUUUAGGACUUGAGAUCGGGGAGGAUGAUGGCACUGCCCGGUGUUGUAAUGAUGGAACUUGAGAUAUACACAACGGAAUAAGGAUUUAAAAACAAUUUAAUUGCGCCUAAUUUAAUAUAGAUUAAUAUGCAUGAACCACUAAAUUACAUAGUUAGUUUAUAAAAAUUAUACCUUUGUAGCUCUCGAGUACUUGCAAAUUAUGUUCAAAAUUGACAUAAAACCGUCACUAGAAUUUACUCGCUAUCCUCUGAACUCACAUCGGGUUGUGAGACUCGAUGAGUGAAGAAUUGAACAAAGAAAGAGAAUGUAUUUGGAGGAUAAUCAAAAACUUCUAACAGAUGAGAGUUGUAAUGUUUUUCUUUAGUGAAACUAAGUGAAAAAAUCCAACAACAAAAAAAUAAUUUAAUUUCUUAAAGUCCAAUUUUUAUAAAGAAAUUACAUACAAAUGUUGGAUUUUUAAUGGAUGUAGUUAUUCUCCAAAGCCCACACCCCCAUUAAGCACUAUCUUAUAGUUAGCUAGGUGUAAAUACCACAUGCAUCCACUAAUUCCCACUAGAGGUAGUGGAACUAUCCAACAAAAUAUUUUAUUAUUCUACUAACUUUAGUCAAAUAGUAAAAUGGUCAUUUCACAAUUUAGUCAAAGUCAAACUCUGACUUUUCAAAGCUGACUUGUUACCAUUUUGUUCUUCUUGGUUAAUUUCGACCUCUCAAACAUGAAUCUGCAUUCGUUUUUUCAAAAUACAAAUCACACUUGAAUAUAGAGUAAGUGCAAGUUUAAUUUUUCAAAAUCAAAAGUUAGUUGUUUGACUUUUUACAACUUUGACAAUUUCCAUCAUUUUCAAGCUUUCGAAUAUGAAUCUAUAUUCAUAUUCUUGAUAUUCAACUCAUAUUAAAACAAAGCUUUAUCUUUUAACUAAUAACCGACAACUAUAUCAUAUAUACUUAUUGGUUUUACUCUCCUUUCUUAAUUUAAAUAAUUUAAAUUAAUCCAACAUACUGUUCUAAGUUUAUUCUAUAUGAACUAUCAGAGGAACCUAGUAGACCUACAGAUCAUGAGAUCCAACUAUUUGAGAUUAACUGGCUAAACUUUUGAAAUCGAGUUAAUCAAUAUUCGUUAACUAACGAGUCAUUUCACUGAAGUCUCGUAGUUGCACUAUUCUCACUAUAGAUAUAGUUGUGUCCAUCUCAUAUAACCAUUAUUAGUAAGUCAAUCCUUCACCAGUUGCUCGUAAUCUCAAUUGGGUCAAAAUAUUAUUUUACCCCAAGAUCACAUCAUAUUUCUUAAGUCCCACCGAUCCUCUAAUAAACAAUUGGUUUAAGGUCCAACCUAUAAACAAAAUCCCUCUCAAACCAAUGAGAUGGUACAACCCCUUGUUCAUGUCAUUUCAAAAACCAUAAACAAAAUAUGGUUAAGCUUUUUUUGUUAAAAUUACUUAACAAUAGUUUUCUAUUAUUAGUAAGCUUUUUUGUUUUUGUAUAAAUGGUUGAGUUGUAAAAAGAAGAGUAAGAGCAAAACAGAAAAAGGUAGAUUAUCGUACCUCAAUAAUAAGGGUUCAUCUUGUUUUGGGGGUUCUUUCAAUGAAUAAUAUCAAUGGCUGAUUUCACAUUGGAUGUAGGCAUUUUAUGUGUCGAACACUUAAUCUUGAGUACCCUCUUCUCUCUUUAUCUCUACACCUAAUAUCUUGAUUUCGAUUAUGAGUUCUUGAUGUGUUGAAAGGGAGUUCAAGGUGAGUCUUUUGCAUUAGUUGCAUGCUGAAAGUGAUUUUUUCCAUCCAAUUUUGGUAAAGUUAAUACUUCUAGUUGUAUUCAAAACUUUAUGCCAUGUGUCUUUCAUGCUAGCUUCCUCUUGCUCCAUUGAAAAUCUUUAGUUUGUGAGUUUUCAUUAUCCACCUCGAUAGUCGACAUUAGAAGUUUGCUUCUCCCACUAUACAUAUUGUCAUGGAAAAAUGGAAGAGUGUAUAUGUAAAUAUGUAAAGUUGUAUAUACACAUAAACCAUAAACUUAAUACAAAACUCAUUGAAAAUAUGCACAUCUCAAUAUUUUUCUUUUUUGAUCUUUUUUAAAACUUAUUUAUCAUUAUUAAAAUGUUUAAACUAUAUAUACAACAUCUCGAUAUUUAUUUGACAUUAAAAAUAACAUUUUAUCUCUUGAAAUAUAUCAAACAACAUUUUAAGUUUAACUAGGCACAAUAUUAAUUUAUGAAUAAAAAGUGUUCAUUUGAAACGUCGAGCAUGGUUUGAUGAAAAAGACAUCAACUAUCAUUUCAAACAUAAAUAUCCAUAUAACAAUGGUUGGAACAACAAAAUAAUAAAUAAAGCUAUGGAUGGAAAGUGACAUACAAGAGUGGACCAAGUUAUAUGUUAAGAAUUCAUAGAAAUUUGAAAAGUAAUAAUAAAGAAGAGAGAGGUUUUAAAAAAAGAAACGUCAAAAUGAAAAUAAAUGGAAGAGGGGAAGGUGUCACAUUAUCCACCUAUAAAACCACAUGUAACUGACUACUCUUUACGCAACACAACCACACACACACACACAGUAGUGUUUAGUUGAAGGAUAAUUAAUCCCAUCAAAAUUCAAAAACAUGGCCACUGAGGGAACUUCAACAACAAUCCUUCCUGAUCUUCCUGAUAAAUACAGAGUUUUCUUGCAUUUGGAGCCUCCAUCUAUUAGUUGGAGGCAUGGUAAACCCCCAACUUAUGGAAUUGUUAACCAGCUUUUUGAAGAGGGAAGAACCAAGGUUUUUUCUUUUCUCACUUUUUCCUUUUCUUUCUCUCUAGAUCUCAUUCACACUUCCCAAACAAACGGAUUUUGUUAGUGCUUCUACUUCCAUAUAUAUUGACUCUCUUUUAUCUUUAUAGAUCUAUCUAGUUAAGAUGUUGCUUGGACAUGGUUGAGUUAUGAAGUCUAGAAUUUUUUAGUAUAUGAAGUUAACAAGUCUGUUUUUGUGGUAUAUAGUCUAAGAUCUAAUUUUCAGUUGCAUGUUUAUUUAUUUAUUUUGUUACUUAUUUGUAUAGAGAUAUAUUUGAACAAACUUCCAAAUGAUCUAAUGGAAACAAAGUUGGGUGGGGUUUAUCAGUUCCCUUUCAUCUCAAUCAAUUUCUCCCUCAAGUUUCAUAUUUUUAUCUGUUACUCAGUUUUGUUUGUGGUAGGAAUGGCCAAAAGGAUCCUUAGAAGAAAUAGUUCAAAAUGCUGUCAAAUCAUGGGAAAUGGAGCUUUCCCACAAGAUUAAAUUACAGGAUUUCAACACCAUAAAUCCUCACAAGUUCAAGCUUUUUGUUAAUGGUAACUACUUUAAUUUUCUUAUACACACACACACACACAUAUAUAUAUAGCAUGUAAUUAAAUUGGAGAGAGAGAAAGGAAAAAAACAAACACUGAAUAACUGGCAGUUACAUGCACAUAUUCAAAGUAAAAAGGCUUUUUCAACUAACCAGCAAACUUAAAAGAGAUGGGACCAUGGGUAUUCAUAGAAAUACAAGUUUCACUUUUCAGAAAAACAAUUUUGAACAAAGUCAAGUGGGUGACAUAAGUCGAUGAUAAAAUUUUUAUCCAAGUUCAUUUUUCCUACAAAAAGUGCUUUGAAGAUCAUUUUAUCAUUCAUAUAGAACAAGGUCCACAAACCUGUUGAUAAUGAUGGGUGGAUGCUGGAUAUUGAAUCCCAUUUUAAAAUAACCUGUAUCAAAGAGUUUCUUUUGGAUAUUCAUGAACGUUUAGCCUAGUUUGUACAUGCAAUUGCCUGGCCUCAACUCAACAUUGUAACAAUUUCUAAAUCAUGUCUGCUAAAACAUGUCAUUUUUGUCAUAUAUGUACCUAUUUAGUAUUGAUAACAAGAAGAGUUUGAUGCAUGUAUGACAAAUGUUGAUUCUGUUUUCAAGUAUUCAAUACGUGUCUGUCAUGGACACGCUGGUCAAACUAAAAUUGUCUGUAUGUGUGGUUGUUUGAUAUAAACUGAGCUUUGUGUCUGACAUACAGGAAGAGAAGGGCUUUCAGGAGAAGAAACACUGAGAAUUGGAAGCUACAAUGCAUUCCUAAAGAGUCCGUUACCAGAGGAAUUUCAAUAUUACAAAGCAGAGGAAGAGACAUUUGAAUCAUCUCACGAUGCAUUUAGGUCUUGUUUUCCAAGAGGAUUUGCAUGGGAAGUUAUUGAAGUUUAUUCACCUCCUCCUUUGAUUGCCUUCAAGUUUAGGCAUUGGGGUUUUUUUGAAGGACCUUUCAAAUCACAUUCCCCAACUGGUGAAUUGGUUCAAUUCUCUGGCUUGGCAACUCUCAAGGUAAUUAAACUUGUCUAUAUGAUUCUCCAAACAUUUGGGUUUCUUAUGUUGUUG
This 5799-nucleotide long non-coding RNA is filed under the name Cucumis sativus (cucumber). RNAcentral describes it as "long non-coding RNA (CSAT_LNC001430)". Lineage: Eukaryota; Viridiplantae; Streptophyta; Magnoliopsida; Cucurbitales; Cucurbitaceae. The record is from RNAcentral.